CGGUGGAUGCCCUGGCAGUCAGAGGCGAUGAAGGGCGUGCUAAUCUGCGAUAAGCGCCGGUAAGGUGAUAUGAACCGUUAUAACCGGCGAUACCCGAAUGGGGAAACCCAGUGUGAUUCGUCACACUAUCAUUAACUGAAUCCAUAGGUUAAUGAGGCGAACCGGGGGAACUGAAACAUCUAAGUACCCCGAGGAAAAGAAAUCAACCGAGAUUCCCCCAGUAGCGGCGAGCGAACGGGGAGGAGCCCAGAGCCUGAAUCAGCAUGUGUGUUAGUGGAAGCGUCUGGAAAGGCGCGCGAUACAGGGUGACAGCCCCGUACACAAAAGCGCAUGUGCUGUGAGCUCGAUGAGUAGGGCGGGACACGUGGUAUCCUGUCUGAAUAUGGGGGGACCAUCCUCCAAGGCUAAAUACUCCUGACUGACCGAUAGUGAACCAGUACCGUGAGGGAAAGGCGAAAAGAACCCCGGCGAGGGGAGUGAAAAAGAACCUGAAACCGUGU
RNAcentral lists this ribosomal RNA (500 nucleotides) under Salmonella enterica subsp. enterica serovar Bareilly. Its description in RNAcentral is "partial 23S ribosomal RNA". It matches the Rfam family "Bacterial large subunit ribosomal RNA", at positions 22 to 561 of the family's 2925-position model. The record is from RNAcentral. Lineage: Bacteria; Pseudomonadati; Pseudomonadota; Gammaproteobacteria; Enterobacterales; Enterobacteriaceae.